GACGAACGCUGGCGGCGUGCCUAACACAUGCAAGUCGAACGGUAAGGCCCUUCGGGGUACACGAGUGGCGAACGGGUGAGUAACACGUGGGUGAUCUGCCCUGCACUUCGGGAUAAGCCUGGGAAACUGGGUCUAAUACCGGAUAGGACUCCGGACUGCAUGGUCUGGGGUGGAAAGCUUUUGCGGUGUGGGAUGGGCCCGCGGCCUAUCAGCUUGUUGGUGGGGUGAUGGCCUAACAAGGCGACGACGGGGAGCCGGCCUGAGAGGGUGACCGGCCACACUGGGACUGAGGUACGGCCCAGACUCCUACGGGAGGCAGCAGUGGGGAAUAUUGCACAAUGGGCGCAAGCCUGAUGCAGCGACGCCGCGUGAGGGAUGACGGCCUUCGGGUUGUAAACCUCUUUCAGCACAGACGAAGCGCAAGUGACGGUAUGUGCAGAAGAAGGACCGGCCAACUACGUGCCAGCCGCCGCGGUAA
RNAcentral lists this ribosomal RNA (478 nucleotides) under uncultured bacterium. Its description in RNAcentral is "partial 16S ribosomal RNA". It matches the Rfam family "Bacterial small subunit ribosomal RNA", at positions 28 to 523 of the family's 1533-position model. The record is from RNAcentral.